CAAUAGCGUAUAUUAAAGUUGUUGCAGUUAAAAAGCUCGUAGUUGAACUUCAGACCUGGCCGGGCGGUCUGCCUCACGGUAUGUACUGUCUGGCUGGGUCUUACCUCUUGGUGAGCCGGCAUGCUCUUUACUGGGUGUGUCGGGGAACCAGGACUUUUACCUUGAGAAAAUUAGAGUGUUCAAAGCAGGCCUUUGCCCGAAUACAUUAGCAUGGAAUAAUAAAAUAGGACGUGCGGUUCUAUUUUGUUGGUUUCUAGAGUCGCCGUAAUGAUUAAUAGGGAUAGUUGGGGGCAUUAGUAUUCAGUUGCUAGAGGUGAAAUUCUUGGAUUUACUGAAGACUAACUAUUGCGAAAGCAUUUGCCAAGGAUGUUUUCAUUA
Molecule: ribosomal RNA, 378 nt
Filed under: uncultured eukaryote
Lineage: Eukaryota
Description: partial 18S ribosomal RNA
Rfam family: Eukaryotic small subunit ribosomal RNA
Source: RNAcentral